GACGAACGCUGGCGGCGUGCUUAACACAUGCAAGUCGAACGGAAAGGCCCUGCUUUUGUGGGGUGCUCGAGUGGCGAACGGGUGAGUAACACGUGAGUAACCUGCCCUUGACUUUGGGAUAACUUCAGGAAACUGGGGCUAAUACCGGAUAGGAGCUCCUGCUGCAUGGUGGGGGUUGGAAAGUUUCGGCGGUUGGGGAUGGACUCGCGGCUUAUCAGCUUGUUGGUGGGGUAGUGGCUUACCAAGGCUUUGACGGGUAGCCGGCCUGAGAGGGUGACCGGCCACAUUGGGACUGAGAUACGGCCCAGACUCCUACGGGAGGCAGCAGUGGGGAAUAUUGCACAAUGGGCGGAAGCCUGAUGCAGCAACGCCGUGUGCGGGAGGACGGCCUUCGGGUUGUAAACCGCUUUCGCCUGUGACGAAGCGUGAGUGACGGUAAUGGGUAAAGAAGCACCGGCUAACUACGU
This 467-nucleotide ribosomal RNA is filed under the name uncultured bacterium. Its description in RNAcentral is "partial 16S ribosomal RNA". It matches the Rfam family "Bacterial small subunit ribosomal RNA", at positions 28 to 506 of the family's 1533-position model. The record is from RNAcentral.